GACGAACGCUGGCGGCGUGCUUAACACAUGCAAGUCGAACGGAAAGGCCCUGCUUUUGUGGGGUGCUCGAGUGGCGAACGGGUGAGUAACACGUGAGUAACCUGCCCUUGACUUUGGGAUAACUUCAGGAAACUGGGGCUAAUACCGGAUAGGAGCUCCUGCUGCAUGGUGGGGGUUGGAAAGUUUCGGCGGUUGGGGAUGGACUCGCGGCUUAUCAGCUUGUUGGUGGGGUAGUGGCUUACCAAGGCUUUGACGGGUAGCCGGCCUGAGAGGGUGACCGGCAACAUUGGGACUGAGAUACGGCCCAGACUCCUACGGGAGGCAGCAGUGGGGAAUAUUGCAAAAUGGGCGGAAGCCUAAUGCAGCAACGCCGCGUGCGGGAUGACGGCCUUCGGGUUGUAAACCGCUUUCGCCUGUGACGAAGCGUGAGUGACGGUAAUGGGUAAAGAAGCACCGGCUAACUACGUG
Molecule: ribosomal RNA, 468 nt
Filed under: uncultured bacterium
Lineage: Bacteria
Description: partial 16S ribosomal RNA
Rfam family: Bacterial small subunit ribosomal RNA
Source: RNAcentral